GCCCGAAUCUGGCAAAACUCUAGUUUUACUUAUUUGAGUGCGUCGAGUCCAAUUCUGCAUCCAAUUCGUGCAGAAUUGACUCCGACUCAGUCCGACACUCUCCAGAGAUGUCGACCAGUCACUAAUACUGAAGCCAACCCUAUCCAAAGCUCAGGAACACUACAGCAUUUCUCUAAACUCCUCCUCUAUUAUUUGUUUCGGAUUUUUAAAUUGCUUGAUUAUUUAGCUUUUUAUUUUAGAAACCUAAUUCAGCCCCCCUCUUAGGUUUCCAUUUUGAUCCUCACUCUACUCUUCAUCGACUGAUGGAUCAUGAGGGAUUGCUAGCACUGUUCAGAUGGUCCGUAACUCAUCCGGUUCGUAAGAUGAAAAUCGAUCGGGUCGUCGAUUCCUUGUGGAUACGCGUAGAGGCCGGACAAGUGCGCGGCUAAUCGGAAUCUCUGUUCGUCAUAUUCAGUUUCAACCGUACAGCAGAUCAAAAGAGCUUAACUGGUUCACAGUAAGAUCUCUAAACAUAAAGAGUUUUUGUUUAGAUUAAAUUUUUGCAUACUAACAUGAGAAUGAUCCACCCGUAACGGUUUGAUUUAUUGGUUUUCGAUUUUUAUAUGUAAUAUGUAUUUUGCUUUCGAAACAUUUUAAAAGUGCAAAACUAUUUUUCGCUGCGUUUUUUUGAUUUACCGGUUAAUUUCUAACAUAAUAACCCUUCA
This 704-nucleotide long non-coding RNA is filed under the name Ananas comosus (pineapple). RNAcentral describes it as "long non-coding RNA (ACOM_LNC019752)". The record is from RNAcentral. Lineage: Eukaryota; Viridiplantae; Streptophyta; Magnoliopsida; Poales; Bromeliaceae.